AGAUUAAGUUAUUAAGGGCGCACGGUGGAUGCCUUGGCACUAGAAGCCGAUGAAGGACGUUACUAACGACGAUAUGCUUUGGGGAGCUGUAAGUAAGCUUUGAUCCAGAGAUUUCCGAAUGGGGAAACCCAGCAUGAGUUAUGUCAUGUUAUCGAUAUGUGAAUACAUAGCAUAUCAGAAGGCACACCCGGAGAACUGAAACAUCUUAGUACCCGGAGGAAGAGAAAGAAAAUUCGAUCCCCUUAGUAGCGGCGAGCGAAACGGGAAGAGCCCAAACCAACAAGCUUGCUUGUUGGGGUUGUAGGACACUCUAUACGGAGUUACAAAGGACGACAUUAGACGAAUCAUCUGGAAAGAUGAAUCAAAGAAGGUAAUAAUCCUGUAGUCGAAAAUGUUGUCUCUCUUGAGUGGAUCCUGAGUACGACGGAGCACGUGAAAUUC
Molecule: ribosomal RNA, 441 nt
Filed under: Klebsiella pneumoniae
Lineage: Bacteria; Pseudomonadati; Pseudomonadota; Gammaproteobacteria; Enterobacterales; Enterobacteriaceae
Description: bacterial LSU rRNA
Rfam family: Bacterial large subunit ribosomal RNA
Source: RNAcentral